Long non-coding RNA from Cyprinus carpio carpio, 3061 nucleotides. The record is from Ensembl. NCBI's taxonomy places the organism in Eukaryota, Metazoa, Chordata, Actinopteri, Cypriniformes, Cyprinidae.
CUCCGUUAUAACUCUAAAAGGGCAAUGUCUGAGCUGCAACAUAAGCAUCAAGUAACAGCGAAGAGCGCUAGCAUCAUCUCACCACAACAAACGGCCCACAGUCAUGUAAAUCAAACUUUUUGCAUUUUUAUUAAAUACUCUGUUUACAAAGUAAAGCAUUUCACACAAUCGUCAUUACAUUCAUCUCUAGAGUUCCUGAGUUUGUUAGCAUUCAUACAGUGCUUUCCUUCACACCAGAUGCACAAGAAAAGUGCAUGCUCGUGAAGAGACGUUCACGUACAUUCACUCAUGCAGCCUUGUGAGUUCUUGAACAUACCGCGAAGCGUACAGACCCAACCAAGGCACUAGUGUUGAUGUGCUGGUCAAAGUUGACUCGUUAUUUCUGUGAUGCACCUAUACAUCUGUAGAAUAAAUACAGUACAUGCAAUCAGUGAACGAAAGGGUUCGGUCUGACGCCCCGCACACGUAGUGAUGUCUACAAAUGUUUGAACACACUAUGUACAGUAUACACAAAAUAUGAAUAUAAAUAUUGCAAAUAUUUCACGUUACACAUAUAAAUAUAUUUCAGUUAUAAAUAGUGCUUAAGAAGCAUUGCUUAUCAGUUCAGGCCCAGACAAAGUCUCCAGAAGCCGUUGCAUUUUCUGAGCUUUAGUUGUAGAGUAAAAUCUGCAUAAUUUGGCAGAAUGCAUUUGAAUAUCGUGACAAAAACGUAAAAGAGACGAUCUUUUUGUAGCUGAAGGCAUUGCCAAAUUAGCCAAUAGAGUUUAUGGACAUUAGUGGAGUCCUGCUCAUCAAAGCAUAAAAAACAAGUCCUGAGUAAAUCAGUUUGGUCAGGCUUCUGCUGAUCACGUGCGAUGCAGCGCUCCAAAUCCGUCCACCAGAAACAUCCCAAAGCCAGAGUCAUUCAUCUCCAGUUUCCAGUUGUUUAGUGUGCCUUCAGUCUGUGAUUUGGCCAUGAGGCGGUUUUCAUUUUCCGGAAAGGUCACGACACGCCAACACGUCUGACUGUGAGGCGCUUCUUUGCUCCACACAGGCAGCGAGACGGUGCAGCUGAGCUCCUCACUAUUGUGUUUAUUGUAAAAGCUGACAGUGAAUUGGCCAGAUAGACAUCGUCCAGUGCAGGAAAAAUUGAGCUGGACGUACAAGAAGUAGGUUCCUCCUUCCUUGAUGUUCAGCACAUUCUGCUUUUCCUCAUAGCUGUAGCGAGAGCCAAUGGUUUGACCCUUUCCAUACGCGAAUGUUUCCCACGCCAUCACACCUGUUUUGAGUUCACCUGCAGGGCGGAGACAAAGAGACACGCUCAUUCCCAAGACUUUAACAGAGGAAGUCAACGUGCAGAGGUUUUUCCGGGUUCAAUACAAGUUCAUAAUGUUUUAGACCACAAGGAUUUUUUUUUUUUUUUGCAUUCUGUAAGUUCAAAAUGUGAGAUAUAACUUACUUUCAGUGGCCCUCAGGUAAACAAAAUUCUGCAUCUAGAAAAAGGAAGACAAGAGAAGAAACAAACAUCAGAUACAUGUUUGACGACUCGUGUAAAACAAGAAACCCUGGUCUGAGUCAUGCUUUCAAGGAAUGGGUUUUUGGCACUGCAGAGCUAUUGAGAUGCUACAUGGUUCAAUCUAGAUUAAAAAUAUUCUUUAUGUUUCAUUGUAGGUUCUUCAGAUUGGCGGUUUGGCUGCUUGGUUUAUUAAAACACCACAACACAGAUGCGUUUUUUUAAUUCUUCUUCUAAAAGCCAAUGCUUUGUUGAACUCCUAUGGCAUCAAGCUGUUUCCUUUAUGUAAGCUAUUUAUUGAUUUUUUUAAAGUGUAUUGUUGUUACUCUCUAAAAAAUUCUGAGUUGUUCAAAUAACUUUGGAUCAAAUAUGGACUAACCCAGCUGUCAUGUUACAUUUUUACAUUGCAUAUUUAACCCAAAGUUGGGUUGAAACAACCCAGCAAUUAUUUAGUUUUUUAUUGUUAUUAUAGAAUUCUGAACGCUCUAAUUGGAACCUUUAUCUAACAGUAUUACAAGUUCUCUAAAAUCAAAGCUCUUAUUGUCAACUGAUAAAAAGUAAGUAACGCGUUAAUUAGUGAUUAUCAUAAUCAUAUAUGUGCAAAUUAUUUAAAUGUAUUUUGAAAAACGCAACUGUCCAAUCAUAGUUUGAUGAUGGCUUUACUAUUAUGGUAUAAAUAAGCACAUUUGAUUUCAUUGCAUUUACAAACUCACCUUAUACGCGUUUCCGGUCUUGGCGAACGGUGCGACCAACGCGUUCGCGGAUCCGUCUGAGCGUCGCGUCGUCCGCGCGUCUAUCUCGUCCUCGAUGUGUUUGGCGAAGUACAGCGCUCCCGAUCCCGCGACCAUAAACAUGAGGAAGAGCGCGAUCACGGACACGGUGAGGAAGGUGUCCAGACACCGGCUGCGGGAGCGCGCGGCGGGCGACUGGCUCUCAACAUCUGCGGACGCGGACAUCUCGAGAAACGGCGUAUCCCUGUGUCUGAAAAAGGAAGGGUGUGUUUGUUACCUGCAUGUGAAUACCUGUGCGCCUGAGGCUCUACAGGAAGUGAUGUCACCCGCACAGGUGUAUAGGAGCAGCUCUACGCCUACAAUGAAGUCGGGUGUGUGCUUAUCCAAAAGACUCGGAAAAACGGAAGCUCCACUAGUGUUUUUGGCUCGUUUUCCCUCUUCUGUCACUGGAUUGAUUUCAUAAGAACCUGAGCAGUGAGUCAGACAGCUGGACUUUAUGACUCACUCAAACUCAAAGUCUGCAAGAUCCAUAUCUGAUCCAUGUCUCCAUGGCUGCGUUUGGACAGAAACACUAGUUCAGUACUAACUGAAUAUAUCUUUUUUUAGUUUAGCAGACACUUUAAGAAAAAGUGAGUUAUAAAUGAGUAAGAAAACAUGAUUCAUCAUGAGGCAACUCUUAGUUUUGACGUGAUGUAACACCAGUCUGGAGACAAAUCAAAUCUUCACUGUGCUGCCUCUGCCAGUUAUUUUUUUUUUCUCCAGGAUUGUGGUAAGCACUAAUGUACUGAGACCAUGAUAUUAAAAGAGCACAUUCAGUAUACACAUUAUUGAUAAUGCA